UAGCAAACAUUUCAAACAUUAAAAUAUUUAAAUAUAAACAAAAUACAAUCACCUCUAAGAAACAAAGGGGAAGAGCAGAACAAUCAGCAUACAGCAUAGAAGAGAUGACAGCAUAGAAGAGAUGAAACCUCCUCAACAGCUGAACUCCAUGAGCUCCAAAUGCUCCUACAGGUGAUGGGAAAUGGGACAGCCAGGGAGGCUGCAUAAGAGCAGCCCUCGUACCAAAGUGUUUGCAGUACACAAGAGGCUUUGCAGAGCACCUGUAUGUGGGAGGUGCCUGGCUCCUGUGGACUGUCCUUAGGAAUCAAAUCUUGUCUUGAAAAACGGCCCUUAAAUAGACGCGAGGAUGAUUUGACAGCUUGGAUUCACAAUGAGGAAGUCUGCCCAAGGAUGAUCCUGUACUGACUGCAAAGUUGUGGGGUAACAGGCUGGAUCCUGCGUGGUCCUUUCUUGUCUUGGAGGACCCUUGUUAAAGGCACAACAAGAAGCUGGGUGACUGUCAGAUAUCACUCAGAAAAUUUUGGAAGAUACCAGCAGGAGUCUUCAUGGCAAAAGGCAAGUGAAGACGAACCUCUUCAGAGAUUAAGCGCUACUGCACAGUGUUACAAAGGAUUAAGGACACAGGAGCAGCAGAGGUGUUGGCUCUUGGAAGUAGGGGAGGAAGAAGUGAAGUCCCGUCCAUACAGCAGACCUUCCUGUUGCAGGAGGUUGCUGGAGCAGGAGACUUGGCUCCUUUGGAGAAUAGCACUUCUUGCUGCUGGUAGGGCCUGGUCCUGA
This 777-nucleotide long non-coding RNA is filed under the name Anser brachyrhynchus (Pink-footed goose). RNAcentral's name for it is "lncRNA (ENSABRG00000016250.1)". Lineage: Eukaryota; Metazoa; Chordata; Aves; Anseriformes; Anatidae. The record is from RNAcentral.